Pieris brassicae (large cabbage white) is the source of this 760-nucleotide long non-coding RNA. RefSeq lists it as uncharacterized. The record is from RefSeq and is a predicted model, not a curated record. Lineage: Eukaryota; Metazoa; Arthropoda; Insecta; Lepidoptera; Pieridae. The transcript has 3 exons.
UAUUAAUAUAAGAAUGCUUAAGGCUAUUUAAAAGACUCAAAGAGUCUGUCAAAAUUAGAAAAUAUUUACAAUUAUUUAUAGAAAUUAUAGAUUUUAAGGCGGCAAAAACUGCAUAUGCCUCUGCUGUAAAUAUGGAGCACUUUUUAUCGAGAGCAAAGCUUUGAGCAACAUCUUUUUGGGAAUCAUAUACCGCACUUCUCACAAAAUCAUUGCCUUUACUGCCACCAGUGUAGAUUGUAUAAUACUUGUUAUUUUCUUCUAUAAAAGCCAGUAAAUCUGAAUUAUUUUCGAUUGAAUUUGAUAAAAUCGUAAUAGGAUGAGUGAUACAACUGUAUGAAUGAUUGUAACACGACCAGUGUGAAAGUUUUUUGAUGUUCGAAUAAUGAGAUUGUAUUUCUAAGAAGAUCUGGCACAGAGUUGGAGAUGUACCUCUCAGGAGAUCAUUUGGAGAAGUGAGUGGACCAUCUAUAUUGAUUGGAUCCGAUAUGAGAGAAAUGAAGCUAUCAACACAACUUCUUCCUCUGCGAAAUCCAUAUUGAAUGUGUGGAAUGACAUUAUUGGAUUCUGCAUACCAGUCAAGUCGAGAUUUCACCAUAUUUUCAAAUAUUUUUCCAAUACAUGAUGAUAACGAGAUUGGAUGAUAAGAACUGAUCUGUUCAGGGUUGGAGCGUGGUGGAAGGGGAGGGAACUCAUUGUUAUCUUUUGUGCUGGCAAUGCUUGCAUAUGUUAUUUUAUUUUUCUUUUCUAGGAUUUUAUUCAU